AGAAGACGGUUUGGUUUGGAGAUGGCAUCAACAACAACAACAACUGAUAAUUCAGCGUUUUCUAAGUGGAUUAUACUCGCAGCAUUUUGAAUUUGUCACAGAAAUUGAUAAGAACUUCACAGUAAGGUGCACUUUAUGUGCUGGUGGGAGGCCGAGGGAACUGUCUACGGCUAAAAAUAGUACAAGUAACCUCAAGAAACACCUGGAGAGAGUGAACAGCAGCCUCAAGCUAGCGGCUAAACGACCUCUUGCUAGUAAACAAGUGGAAGAUGACGGCGCGAGCAGAUCUAAACAACGACAGCUGGAUUUCUCCAGACCAGAGGUGAAGAUGCUUGACCCAGGAGAAGUGAGAAGGCUGGUGGCUGAGUAUGUCUUGGAGGAUGUGCUGCCUCUUUCUACAGUUGAGUCACCGGCGUUUCAAAAGCUUGUCUGCAAAGUCCCUGUUCGAUCAAGUGAGAAGCCUUCCAUUGUCAGACGGUGUCUCGCCAAUUAG
This 493-nucleotide long non-coding RNA is filed under the name Sparus aurata (gilthead seabream). Its description in RNAcentral is "lncRNA (ENSSAUG00010004077.1)". The record is from RNAcentral. Lineage: Eukaryota; Metazoa; Chordata; Actinopteri; Spariformes; Sparidae.